GGCGGCGUAGCUCAGAUGGUAGAGCAAGCGGCUCAUAUCCGCUCGGUCAGGGGUCCAAGUCCCUUCGCCGCUA
This 73-nucleotide transfer RNA is filed under the name Spirochaetales bacterium. Its description in RNAcentral is "tRNA-Met". It matches the Rfam family "tRNA". From Rfam's summary of the family: Transfer RNA (tRNA) molecules are approximately 80 nucleotides in length. The record is from RNAcentral. RNAcentral also lists the same sequence under 1 other name. Lineage: Bacteria; Pseudomonadati; Spirochaetota; Spirochaetia; Spirochaetales.